UACGAAGGGUGCAAACGUUGCUCGGAAUUAUUGGGCGUAAAGCGCACGUAGGCGGCUUAGCAAGUUGGAUGUGAAAUCCCCGGGCUCAACCUGGGAAUGGCAUUUGGGACUGCAAGGCUUGAGUGCGGCAGAGGAGACUGGAAUUCCUGGUGUAGCAGUGAAAUGCGUAGAUAUCAGGAGGAAUACCGAUGGCGAAGGCAGGUCUCUGGGCUGACACUGACGCUCAUGCACGAAAGCGUGGGGAGCAAACAGG
RNAcentral lists this ribosomal RNA (253 nucleotides) under uncultured bacterium. RNAcentral describes it as "partial 16S ribosomal RNA". It matches the Rfam family "Bacterial small subunit ribosomal RNA", at positions 524 to 776 of the family's 1533-position model. The record is from RNAcentral.